RNAcentral lists this small RNA (114 nucleotides) under Actinacidiphila bryophytorum. RNAcentral describes it as "Streptomyces-metK RNA". It matches the Rfam family "Streptomyces-metK RNA". The record is from Rfam by way of RNAcentral. Lineage: Bacteria; Bacillati; Actinomycetota; Actinomycetes; Kitasatosporales; Streptomycetaceae.
ACGAGAUGCCGUGCCCGUCCGAGCGGCGCGACCGAUAAACUGGCCGCGGAGUGCCGGGCGCAGCCCUGUGCACUCCGCCAAGAUUCAGCCAGCAGCCGCUGCAACCCCAGGGAG